AACAUUCAUUGUGUUAUUGCAUUAAUACAGUUUAAACAGUAGAUAUUUGGGGGAAGUUACUAACAUAAAAGUGGAAUAUUGGAAUAUGUCUGACAAGAGGAACAGUCCUGCCCAGUGUGAAAGCCAACACACACAGCCUUACACACUCAGCUCCCUGUAUUCUACAGCUGCACUGCUACAGCUUCACCUAGAGGGGGCGAUAGAAACAACCAGAUUUAAGGGACAGGACAAACAAGACCAAUGACAGACAACACAUCUUAUCUGAAAGGCUCUCCUGACAUAGCUGUCCCAAUAGAGUCACUAUGAUCCAGAAACUGACUGGCCAUAGGACAUUUUGGAGCCAGAUGGACCGGUCCAUCUUUAAGCACAGUGGGCUGGCCUAAAUUGGGUGUUUGCAAAGAACAACUGUUUUGGGGGCGGGGGGGGUAGUGUGUAUGAAAAUACAUGUAAAUGUUGAAAAGAAAAACAGUCACAUUAUCAAUCAUCACAGAUCACUGCACCUGUACAUAGCCCAUCUGUAAAUAGCCCAUCCAACUACCUCAUCCCCAUACUGUAUUUAUUUAUUUAUCUUGAUCCUUUGCACCCCAGUAUCUCUACUUGCACAUUCAUCUUUUGCACAUCUAUCACUCCAGUGUUUAAUUGCUAUAUUGUAAUUACUUUGCCACCAUGGCCUAUUUAUUGCCUUACCUCUCUUAUCAUACCUCAUUUGCACACACUGUAUAUAGACUUUUUGUACUGAAUUAUUGACUGUAUGUUUGUUUAUUCCAUGUGUAACUCUGUGUUGUUGUAUGUGUCGAACUGCUUUGCUUUAUCUUGGCCAGGUCGCAGUUGUAAAUGAGAAUGUGUUCUCAACUAGCCUACCUGGUUAAAUAAAGGUGUUCUCAACUAGCCUACCUGGUUAAAUAAAGGUGUUCUCUACUAGCCUACCUGGUUAAAUAAAGGUGUUCUCAACUAGCCUACCUGGUUAAAUAAAGGUGUUCUCAACUAGCCUACCUGGUUAAAUAAAGGUGUUCUCAACUAGCCUACCUGGUUAAAUAAAGGUGUUCUCAACUAGCCUACCUGGUUAAAUAAAGGUGUUCUCAACUAGCCUACCUGUUUAAAUAAAGGUGUUCUCAACUAGCCUACCUGGUUAAAUAAAGGUGUUCUCAACUAGCCUACCUGGUUAAAUAAAGGUGUUCUCAACUAGCCUACCUGGUUAAAUAAAGGUGUUCUCAACUAGCCUACCUGGUUAAAUAAAGGUGUUCUCAACUAGCCUACCUGGUUAAAUAAAGCUGAAAUAAAAUAUAAAAAAAAUGUUCACAAUCCUCGACUGAUUUCAAUACAACAUAAACAUGUCAUAAAUAAAUAACGGCACUCACCCUAACGUCAGGACCAGACUCCACAGACCACAGGUUGGGUUGGUCCUCCUCUUCCUCCUUGUCACCAGUGGGAAACCAGCUAGGAUAAUAUUACACAGAUGGAUUAGAUUACAUCAGAUAUUCACUUAUUUAUUGAUUUGAUAAUUAAAGUAUUAGGGCUCUCCAGCCGGAGACAACAUUAUAUAUGACCUCAGUUAUAUGACUCUGUCAACUAGUAACACAGAGAUGAACAUCACAGAGACAACAUUAUAUAUGACCUCAGUUAUAUUACUCUGUCAACUAGUAACACAG
Molecule: long non-coding RNA, 1649 nt
Organism: Oncorhynchus tshawytscha (Chinook salmon)
Lineage: Eukaryota; Metazoa; Chordata; Actinopteri; Salmoniformes; Salmonidae
Source: Ensembl